GUUUAAUUAGUUUAAUUACAAAAUUAUAAAUUGUGGAUUUAUAGAUGAAAUUCAUUAAACA
RNAcentral lists this transfer RNA (61 nucleotides) under Hyalomma truncatum. RNAcentral describes it as "tRNA-His". Lineage: Eukaryota; Metazoa; Arthropoda; Arachnida; Ixodida; Ixodidae. The record is from RNAcentral.